RNAcentral lists this transfer-messenger RNA (370 nucleotides) under human gut metagenome. It matches the Rfam family "transfer-messenger RNA". Rfam says of the family: Bacterial tmRNA, also known as 10Sa RNA or SsrA, is named for its dual tRNA and mRNA-like properties. Its role is to liberate the mRNA from a stalled ribosome. The record is from RNAcentral.
GGGGGCGUAAAGGUUUCGACGGGGACUGUGAACCAUGAUAAGCGAGUAGAGCAGAACAUCUCUUAAAACUGUAUCACGUUUAAAUAUAAACGCUAGAAAAAAUAUUACUGUAAGCACAAGAAACUUACAGGUAGCAGCCUAAGUCUGCUUCCGUCCUCCUUUUGAGUACCACGGCAAAAGCUAGGGCGACGAUUUAGUGGUGAACGUUCUUUCGGAGCGCCUCUUCCGAAAUGAAUGUAUAUGAGGCUACCAAACUCCUCAGCCUGUUUGUCGGCGGAGCAGCAAGGGAAUUUAAAAAGAUAAACUACACUCGUAGAAAGUUGUGCGGAUCGGUUUUCGGACACGAGUUCGACUCUCGUCGCCUCCACCA